RNAcentral lists this ribosomal RNA (212 nucleotides) under uncultured bacterium. RNAcentral describes it as "partial 16S ribosomal RNA". It matches the Rfam family "Bacterial small subunit ribosomal RNA", at positions 159 to 353 of the family's 1533-position model. The record is from RNAcentral.
ACUGCUAAUACCGCAUACGAUCUAAUCUCGGCAUCGAGGAUAGAUGAAAGGUGGCCUCUACAUGUAAGCUAUCACUGAAGGAGGGGAUUGCGUCUGAUUAGCUAGUAGGUGGGGUAACGGCUCACCUAGGCGACGAUCCCUAGCUGGUCUGAGAGGAUGACCAGCCACACUGGAACUGAGACACGGUCCAGACUCCUACGGGAGGCAGCAUG